RNAcentral lists this ribosomal RNA (359 nucleotides) under Escherichia coli. Its description in RNAcentral is "partial 23S ribosomal RNA". It matches the Rfam family "Bacterial large subunit ribosomal RNA", at positions 881 to 1238 of the family's 2925-position model. Lineage: Bacteria; Pseudomonadati; Pseudomonadota; Gammaproteobacteria; Enterobacterales; Enterobacteriaceae. The record is from RNAcentral.
CUCGUGAAUUCAUCUCCGGGGGUAGAGCACUGUUUCGGCAAGGGGGUCAUCCCGACUUACCAACCCGAUGCAAACUGCGAAUACCGGAGAAUGUUAUCACGGGAGACACACGGCGGGUGCUAACGUCCGUCGUGAAGAGGGAAACAACCCAGACCGCCAGCUAAGGUCCCAAAGUCAUGGUUAAGUGGGAAACGAUGUGGGAAGGCCCAGACAGCCAGGAUGUUGGCUUAGAAGCAGCCAUCAUUUAAAGAAAGCGUAAUAGCUCACUGGUCGAGUCGGCCUGCGCGGAAGAUGUAACGGGGCUAAACCAUGCACCGAAGCUGCGGCAGCGACACUAUGUGUUGUUGGGUAGGGGAGCG